RNAcentral lists this unclassified non-coding RNA (351 nucleotides) under soil metagenome. Its description in RNAcentral is "partial contains 5.8S ribosomal RNA, internal transcribed spacer 2, and large subunit ribosomal RNA". The stretch from base 1 to 120 matches the Rfam family "5.8S ribosomal RNA", at positions 35 to 154 of the family's 154-position model. The record is from RNAcentral.
GAUGAAGAACGCAUCGAAAUGCGAUAAGUAGUGUGAAUUGCAGAAUUCCGUGAAUCAUCGAAUCUUUGAACGCACAUUGCGCCUCCUGGUAAUCCGUGAGGCAUGCCUGUCCGAGCGUCAGUAAAAAGCAACUCGGCCGCGGCUGGCGGUUGGUGAUGGAGGAAGAGCACGUCUCGUUGUCGGUCUCCCCUCCCAAAAUCAACGGCGGAAUGUCACUGGCACUCGGUGUUGUAGUAUUAUUCGCCGAUCACCCAUUGUUGUUCCUGCCGCCCAAACCCCCACAAUUCUCUUGAUUGACCUCGGAUCAGGUAGGGAUACCCGCUGAACUUAAGCAUAUCAAUAAGCGGAGGA